AGUCUGGCCUGCCCAAUGAUUUUUGAAUGGCCGCAGUAUUUUGACUGUGCAAAGGUAGCAUAAUCAUUAGUUUUUUAAUUGAAAGCUGGAAUGAAAGGUUUGAUGAGAAAAUAACUGUCUCUAUGUAAAUGUUUUAGAACUUCAAUUUUAAGUGAAAAAGCUUAAAUUUUUUAUAAAGACGAGAAGACCCUAUAGAGUUUUAUAUUUGUAUAGAUUUAAUGGUUGUUGAAUUUAUUCUUUUAUUUUUAUUUAAGUAUUUUGUUGGGGCGAUGGGGAAAUUUAAUAAACUUUCUUUUGUUUUUUACAUUGAUUUAUGAUUAUUUGAUCCUGAAUUUUGGAUUACAAGAUUAAAUUACCUUAGGGAUAACAGCGUAAUUUUUUUUGGAGAGUUCUUAUCGAUAAAAAAGUUUGCGACCUCGAUGUUGGAUUAAAAUUAAAUUUUGGUGUAGGAGCUAAAAUUUUAGGUCUGUUCGACCUUUGAAAUUUU
Molecule: ribosomal RNA, 487 nt
Filed under: Pimelia grandis
Lineage: Eukaryota; Metazoa; Arthropoda; Insecta; Coleoptera; Tenebrionidae
Description: partial large subunit ribosomal RNA
Rfam family: Bacterial large subunit ribosomal RNA
Source: RNAcentral